RNAcentral lists this transfer RNA (67 nucleotides) under Marmota monax (woodchuck). RNAcentral describes it as "tRNA.Undet". The record is from RNAcentral. Lineage: Eukaryota; Metazoa; Chordata; Mammalia; Rodentia; Sciuridae.
GGAUUGUGGCUCAGUGGUACAGCGCUUGCCUAGCAGGGGUGGGACCUGGGUUCCAUUCUCAGCACCA